ACCUACGGGGCGCAGCAGUGGGGAAUAUUGCACAAUGGGGGAAACCCUGAUGCAGCAACGCCGCGUGAGUGAAGAAGUCAUUCGUGAUGUAAAGCUCUAUCAGCAGGGAAGAAAAUGACGGUACCUGAGUAAGAAGCCCCGGCUAACUACGUGCCAGCAGCCGCGGUAAUACGUAGGGGGCAAGCGUUAUCCGGAUUUACUGGGUGUAAAGGGAGCGUAGACGGUCCUGCAAGCCAGAUGUGAAAGCCCGGGGCUCAACCCCGGGACUGCAUUUGGAACUGUAAGGCUAGAGUGUCGGAGAGGCA
RNAcentral lists this ribosomal RNA (305 nucleotides) under uncultured bacterium. RNAcentral's name for it is "bacterial SSU rRNA". It matches the Rfam family "Bacterial small subunit ribosomal RNA", at positions 337 to 659 of the family's 1533-position model. The record is from RNAcentral.